CGGGGUGAGGCAAGACCGGUUGUGGUAUUGCUAGAAGUUUUCGUUUUGCCAAGGACUAGCACCCAGAUUUCUCUGGCACCCAGGCCCUUUUUUCUUCAGCAUCCCGACCAUUUUAUCAGCAAAGUGAACGCUGGAGCACAGAUGAGGAAGUUGAGGCACCUUCAGACUCCCAAGGGUCCCGGUGGUGGGUGGGCUCUGGGGAGGGGUGGUCCAGAAUGACUGUGUGGACCACCAUGGGCCACUUCCUCCCUCUACACACAGGAGGAAAUCCUUUUGCCCAACUGAAGGUGGAGAGGAAACCCCACAGCAGUGAAUCUGGUUUUUCAAAAACACCGCAAAGGAUGUGGAUGGAAGAGGGCGAGGCCCCCCUCUGGUUCUGGCUCCAGGCGAGGCUUACUGUCGGGGGUCCCCACCCUGAACCCCUGCCUCUUCACCAGCUAUCCUAAGGAAGGGUCGCUGUGGAGUUCGGGAGGCGGAAGGGUCAUGCCUGCGGGUGGGACUCCAGGCACCGAGGAAGGUGGAAGAGAAUAGUGUCUACCACUCUUUUGCAUCUUAAAAAUUCUGUUUCCCAUCAAAUUCUCACAGUCCAGUCUCUGGAAUUAGAGAUAAUUUCAAGUCACAGGUCCCCACUCAGCCCUGGUGUAACCUUGGCAGGCGUGGAUGGAUCUCACUUCAUCUGCAAAAAGUGGGUAACACCGACCCUGUGUGUUGUGGGAAAGACAAAAAAAUAAUGUACGGAAGAUAAGAAGCACACCCAUGAUAGCUAUAUUACGGAUAAUCAAGAAAAUGGGGGAGAUUGGAUUUCUCAAGCAUGGGCAGCUGGUAAAUAAUGGUGACACCAAGACCCCGUCCUCAACCCAAGCCUUCAACUUCUCAACCAAAGGCCCUUCACUCCCCCCAGAACAUUCUAUGGCCAUACGCCGGCCCUCCCAGGCAAAGCUUCCCCACCCGGUUCACACAGAGAGCAGCAGGGGCCGCUUCUGACUCGGCCCCCACCGAGGGGGAAGCCCGCACGCUGCACAGCUGCACACAUCUGGAACCUCGCCGGCUGGAGCCCCGAGGGGCGCGCAGGGCUCUCCAGAACCUGUGCGCCCGAAGAUACCAGAGCGGCCACAGGCCUCUCCGCCCUGCCGCGGCCCUUCGGCUCCCGCCCGCGCGCCCAGGAGCACUGAGCCCAAGCUCAGGGUGGACCCCUGGGCGCCAGGCACGGGCUCGGUGGGGCAGCCCCCUGCGCGCGUCCCUGUAGGGAGCGGCGGCGCGCGCAGGGAGCCCCCGGCGCGCACACGCCCGCAAACCCGUAAGCCCAGCCCCAGGGUUUUGCACCCGUGGACGAUCGGCGCGAGGAUCGGGCAACCGUAUGUAGCCCACCGGACAGGCCAUUUCACAGACGGGAGAGCACACAGCGGGGAAAGGCCUGAGGUUCUGGGCCCCUGUCCCCAGCUAGACUCUAACAAACAGGUGACCAGAUACAACAAAGUUACUCCUUGGAGCUCUUCUUCAAGUCCACUUCGUCCUUUCCACUGUAGGCGGAGAGAGAAUUCUCAAGUCUUCAGUAACAGCACGUCACCGCUCUUAGAAUCCAGUCCAAAGCCUUGAAUAAGACUUACAAGUGGUCAUGUAUGGAUGUGAGAGUUGGACCAUAAAGAAAGCUGAGCACCAAAGAAUAGAUGCUUUAGAGUAGGUGUUGGAGAAGACUCUUGAGAGUCCCUUGGACUGCAAGGAGGUCCAACCAGUCCAUCCUAAAGGAAAUCAGUCCUGAAUAUUCACUGGAAGGAUUGAUGCUGAAGCUGAAACUCCAAUACUCUGGCCUCCUGAUGCGAAGAACUGACUCACUGGGAAAGACCCUGAUUCUGGGAAAGAUUGAAGCUUUAUUGAGAUAUAAUUGAAAUACAAAAACCUGCACAUAUUUGACGUAUUCAAUUUGUUGAGUUUUUACAUACGUUAUAUAUACCUGUGAUACCAUCACCACAUUCAAGGUAAUAAACAUGUCUGUCGCCUCCGGAAGUUUCUUUCUGUCCCGUGUGUGUGUGUGUGUGUGUGUGUGUGUGUGUGUAUGUGUGUGUGUGUGUGAACACUUAACAUGAGAUCUUCCUUUUAACAAAAUUUUAAGUGCACAAUACCAUAUUAUUAGCUACAGGUAUGUUGUAUAGCGUAUUUCUACAACUUGGCUGUCUUCUAUGACUAUAAAUUUAUACAAGUUGAGUAGCAACUGCCCACUUUUCUCUCCCUCCACUCACUGGCAACCAACAUUCUAUUUUCUACUUCUGUAAGUUUGAUUAGUUUAGAUAACUCAUUUAAGUAGAAUCAUGCAGUAUUUGCCCUUCUAUGACUCACUUACUUAGCAUGGUGUCUUCCAGAUCCAUCCAUGUCAUCCCAAAUUCUUAAGACUUUUAAUAAGAUUUGAGCUUGUCAUUUUGGCCAGAUACAAAAUUGCUUUCAUUUUCACAUUUUUAG
Long non-coding RNA from Bos taurus (domestic cattle), 2454 nucleotides. NCBI's taxonomy places the organism in Eukaryota, Metazoa, Chordata, Mammalia, Artiodactyla, Bovidae. The record is from Ensembl.